AUCGCGGUUUAAUUAAAAUUAAUUACAUAAAUUACCGCAAAAUGUAACCCCAGUUAAUCAAAGUCAAUUUGUUCGCAUGUGUGUCGCAUUGCUGCAUAAUUUCAAGAUAUUUAACUUUGAUUUUUAACUUUAAAGGCAUUUGUUCCCUCGCGAGCAUGAAGAUUUUAUUCAUAAUAAUGAUCAUGUUAUUAAUUGCAAUGGUAUCGGGUACUAGAUGGAAAUAUGCUCUUAAGCAAAAGGCAUACCUGAUUAAAAAUACAGCCGUACAAGUGCAGAAAGAUUUAACGGCAUUGAGGGCGAUACUACAAUUCCAAGCGCGGAUUAAAUCGAAACUGGACUUACAUUGCAAGUAAAUCGAGUAACGCCUACAUCGAAGAAGAUUUUCACAAACUAACAAAUAUGUCGAGCACACAAUAAAACAAAUUGUAAUAUCACAAAUAUAUUUAUUGUAUUAUUGUA
Long non-coding RNA from Cydia pomonella (codling moth), 459 nucleotides. RefSeq lists it as uncharacterized. The record is from RefSeq and is a predicted model, not a curated record. The transcript is spliced from 3 exons. Lineage: Eukaryota; Metazoa; Arthropoda; Insecta; Lepidoptera; Tortricidae.